RNAcentral lists this ribosomal RNA (402 nucleotides) under uncultured bacterium. Its description in RNAcentral is "bacterial SSU rRNA". It matches the Rfam family "Bacterial small subunit ribosomal RNA", at positions 355 to 774 of the family's 1533-position model. The record is from RNAcentral.
UGGGGAAUAUUGGACAAUGGGCGCAAGCCUGAUCCGGCCAUGCCGCGUGAGUGAUGAAGGCCUUAGGGUUGUAAAGCUCUUUCGGCGGGGAAGAUAAUGACGGUACCCGCAGAAGAAGCCCCGGCUAACUUCGUGCCAGCAGCCGCGGUAAUACGAAGGGGGCUAGCGUUGCUCGGAAUCACUGGGCGUAAAGCGCACGUAGGCGGCUUACUAAGUCAGGGGUGAAAUCCUGGAGCUCAACUCCAGAACUGCCUUUGAUACUGGUGAGCUUGAGUUCGGGAGAGGUGAGUGGAACUGCGAGUGUAGAGGUGAAAUUCGUAGAUAUUCGCAAGAACACCAGUGGCGAAGGCGGCUCACUGGCCCGAUACUGACGCUGAGGUGCGAAAGCGUGGGGAGCAAACA